Molecule: long non-coding RNA, 2157 nt
Organism: Bactrocera neohumeralis
Lineage: Eukaryota; Metazoa; Arthropoda; Insecta; Diptera; Tephritidae
Exons: 4
Source: RefSeq, a predicted model, not a curated record
GGAGGUUUUCCAAAUGUUGGCAGUAGGCAAACAAUUCGUCGUUACUGCAUGAUACUUAUAAAUUCGGAAAAUUGUGAAACUCACGUCUACCCAGAUUCAUUUUUUGUAGAAGCAGUUUGGCUGCGAAAGCAGCAACGACGUUUUUUGUAGUUUGGGUUGUGGGAUUUUCAAUGAAUCCGAAUUUAAUGUAUUCCGCACGGUAUUGCCGUCUCUUCUUUUUUACUUCCGACAUUGUUUUGCUUUGAGAAAUACGUUUAACUUCGCGAGUAGUGUAAAGGAGGCGUAAGUAAUGCUCAUCUAUUGCGCGCAAAACCACAAAUGAAUAUAAAAUAAAUAUUACAUUGUUUAUAUAGGAAUGCUUCAGCACAAUUAUUAUAAAGUAGUCCAAAAAUAUGAAUUCUUAUUUUUCCUAGAAAUACAUUUGUAAAAAAAAGGAUCUUUCUCCUUUUCGUAUUAUCUUAUUUCUCCCAGAAAUACAUUUGUAAAAAAAAAUGAUCUUUAUCCUUUUUUUAUUUUCCACAUAAAAUAUUUAAGGAGUUCAAAAGCUCAAAACGUGCGUUAUAUCAGCUACCUACCCGACGUCAUUUUGCAAGUGAUAAAAUAAAUUAUUCAAGAGCUCAAAGCAUUCGCUACGUCAGCUCGAAUAUACCUACCCUACACCUUUGCGCAAAUGAUUAUAUGUAUUAUGAUAGUAAAUGCCCACAUACAGAUUUGGCAAUGGCAAUAGCAAUACGUUUGACAGUUAGUAUUCUAUAAAUUCUAUCCUGUCGAGAUGCCCCGUUAUGAAACGGAGCGACCGAUUGACAUGAUUUUAAUUUUUUCUAUAUUCAAUUAAAUAGGACAGAUAUAAGAACUACGCGGAGAGAAAUAUAGAACCGAGUUUGAGCAAUCUUUUAAUUCAUAUUAGUUGAUGUUCGCAAGUUGUUGUUGAGCUAAAUAAAAUUACAAAUAACCCCCAGGCUUCUACACAACGCCCCCAUUUUCUUUCUGGGUCUCUUACCGCCCCCCUUGAUACCUGCAGCGCACACAAGGGGUGCGUUAUCGACCACUUUGAGAAACACUGAUCUAGAUGUAUAACUUAAAUCAAGACAAGUUUCCAACAUUUCUGACUUAAAAAAGUACUGAAUGGUAUGGAAUUUCACCAGAAUAUUGUAAAAAAUUAUUCGUAUUUAUUUUAUAUACACUUGAAUAAGUUUUUACUUCUAUAAAAAAAAUGGAUUGCAACAGUCCCUCCAAAUUCACUUUCUGGACUCCCAUUUGGAUUUUUCCCCCAAAAAUUUAGAUGCCGUAAGUGACGAGCUGGGGAACGGUUCCACCAAGACAUUUUUGGUAUAGAGAAACGGUACCAAGGCAAGCUGAGUAUCAGUUUGCUUGCCGAUUACUGCUGGACAUUGUUAAGAUGAUCCAAACAUGAGAAAUAUUGUCCGUCAGGGAAAAAACGCAUUCCAUUCACCCAGCCAUUUCUCCGACAGAUACCAUCAAAAAAUUCCGAAAAAAAUUUUUUAUACACUCCACGAUAUAGCUCAUGAUAUGUACAAAAAGUUCUACUGUAGAAUAAAAAAUCUAUAAAAAAAAAUGUAAAAAAAAACAGGCCAGAUUACCCUACUAACCCCUUAAAACCGAUUCAGUAUUGUCACUAAUAAAGGAGGCUGAAAAUCUUGCAUAGUAUUGGAUAAAGCUAUCACUCUCGGUGAUUGUUUUACUCACUGCCCGCUGGACUUACCACUUGUGACAAAUAGUGUGUUUUAAAAUAAAACCUCCGAUUUCACUUUCACAACUCGGAUAAACGCUUUUAUUUAACAAAAGAAAUUCGCCUUCUAAUGGUGAAGGGAGGGGGUUCCGGACACGUUAGUUUCACAAUUGUGUUAAUCGAAAAUUAUUAAAAUUAUUGUAUUCACAAACUGAUAUGUGUAAAUUAUGGAGAAAUGGCGAUAACUAGCGGCGUGUGGCGAAAAGGCGACGUGCAUUCAGUAAUGGACGAAUCAAUACUGACUUGUGUAAAAGCAGACCCUUUUUCAGUGGAGUGAUGUGGUGUGUGUUUUAGUGUGUGGAUCCUGAUCUCGCUCGUGUGGGUAGUGUUGAUGUGGAGUGUGGUGAUGUCGAGGUGAGUGUGGUGAGUGUGGUGAGUGUGCGUGUUAGUGAUGGGUGUAGGUGUGG